GGGCCGGUGGUCUAGUGGUAUGACGCCGCCCUUACGAGGCGGAGGUCGAGGGUUCGAUUCCCUCCCGGCCCA
Molecule: transfer RNA, 72 nt
Filed under: marine sediment metagenome
Rfam family: tRNA
About the family: Transfer RNA (tRNA) molecules are approximately 80 nucleotides in length.
Source: RNAcentral